AUUGAACGCUGGCGGCAUGCUUUACACAUGCAAGUCGAACGGUAACAGGCCGCAAGGUGCUGACGAGUGGCGAACGGGUGAGUAAUGCAUCGGAACGUGCCCAGUCGUGGGGGAUAACGCAGCGAAAGUUGCGCUAAUCCCGCAUACGAUCUAUGGAUGAAAGCGGGGGACCGGAAGGCCUCGCGCGAUUGGAGCGGCCGAUGGCAGAUUAGGUAGUUGGUGGGGUAAAGGCUCACCAAGCCGACGAUCUGUAGCUGGUCUGAGAGGACGACCAGCCACACUGGGACUGAGACACGGCCCAGACUCCUACGGGAGGCAGCAGUGGGGAAUUUUGGACAAUGGGCGCAAGCCUGAUCCAGCAAUGCCGCGUGCAGGAAGAAGGCCUUCGGGUUGUAAACUGCUUUUGUACGGAACGAAACGGUCCUGGUUAAUACCCGGGGCUAAUGACGGUACCGUAAGAAUAAGCACCGGCUAACUACGUGCCAGCCGCCGCAGUAA
This 498-nucleotide ribosomal RNA is filed under the name uncultured bacterium. RNAcentral describes it as "partial 16S ribosomal RNA". It matches the Rfam family "Bacterial small subunit ribosomal RNA", at positions 29 to 523 of the family's 1533-position model. The record is from RNAcentral.